RNAcentral lists this ribosomal RNA (348 nucleotides) under Cladius pectinicornis. RNAcentral describes it as "partial 16S ribosomal RNA". The record is from RNAcentral. Lineage: Eukaryota; Metazoa; Arthropoda; Insecta; Hymenoptera; Tenthredinidae.
AUAAUAAUUUGUCUUUUAAUUUAAGGCUGGAAUGAAUGAUUGGUCAAGGUAUAAACUGUCUUUAUUUAAUUAAUAUUGAAUUUAAUUUUUAAGUCAAAAAGCUUAAAUAAAUUUAAAGGACGAGAAGACCCUAUAGAGUUUAAUAAAAAUUAUUUUUUUGAAAUUUAAUUUUUUUUAAAAAUUUAAUUAAAUUAUUUUGUUGGGGCGAUAGAAAAAUUUAAUAAACUUUUUUAUAAUUUUUACAUUAAUUAAUGAUUUUUUGAUCCUAUAUUUUAGAUUAUUAGAAAAAAUUACCUUAGGGAUAACAGCGUUAUUUUUUUUAGAGUUCUUAUCAAUAAAGAAGAUUGC